This 434-nucleotide ribosomal RNA is filed under the name uncultured bacterium. Its description in RNAcentral is "partial 16S ribosomal RNA". It matches the Rfam family "Bacterial small subunit ribosomal RNA", at positions 29 to 506 of the family's 1533-position model. The record is from RNAcentral.
AGCGAACGCUGGCGGCAGGCUUAACACAUGCCAGUCGAGCGGGCACUUUCGGGUGUCCGCGGCGGACGGGUGAGUAACGCGUGGGAACGUGCCCUCUGGUUCGGAAUAACUCAGGGAAACUUGAGCUAAUACCGGAUACGCCCUUUUGGGGAAAGGCUUGCUGCCGGAGGAUCGGCCCGCGUCUGAUUAGCUAGUUGGUGAGGUAACGGCUCACCAAGGCGACGAUCAGUAGCUGGUCUGAGAGGAUGAUCAGCCACACUGGGACUGAGACACGGCCCAGACUCCUACGGGAGGCAGCAGUGGGGAAUAUUGGACAAUGGGCGCAAGCCUGAUCCAGCCAUGCCGCGUGAGUGAUGAAGGCCUUAGGGUUGUAAAGCUCUUUUAUCCGGGACGAUAAUGACGGUACCGGAGGAAUAAGCCCCGGCUAACUUCGU